GGAGAGUUCGCAUAGUGGCCGAGUGCGCUCGCUUGGAAAGCGGGUAUACCUUAAUCGGUAUCGAGGGUUCGAAUCCCUCACUCUCCGCCA
RNAcentral lists this transfer RNA (90 nucleotides) under Candidatus Falkowbacteria bacterium CG10_big_fil_rev_8_21_14_0_10_39_9. RNAcentral describes it as "tRNA-Ser". It matches the Rfam family "tRNA". Rfam says of the family: Transfer RNA (tRNA) molecules are approximately 80 nucleotides in length. Their secondary structure includes four short double-helical elements and three loops (D, anti-codon, and T loops). Lineage: Bacteria; Candidatus Falkowiibacteriota. The record is from RNAcentral.